This 252-nucleotide ribosomal RNA is filed under the name uncultured bacterium. RNAcentral's name for it is "partial 16S ribosomal RNA". It matches the Rfam family "Bacterial small subunit ribosomal RNA", at positions 524 to 775 of the family's 1533-position model. The record is from RNAcentral.
UACGGAGGGGGCGAGCGUUAUUCGGAAUUAUUGGGCGUAAAGGGCGCGUAGGCGGCUUGGUAAGUCAAAGGUGAAAUCCCUCGGCUCAACUGAGGAACUGCCUUUGAAACUGCCUGGCUCGAGGCCGGGAGGGGGUAGCGGAAUUCCCAAUGUAGCGGUGAAAUGCGUAGAUAUUGGGAGGAACACCGGUGGCGAAGGCGGCUACCUGGACCGGUUCUGACGCUGAUGCGCGAAAGCGUGGGGAGCAAACAG